RNAcentral lists this ribosomal RNA (253 nucleotides) under uncultured bacterium. RNAcentral describes it as "partial 16S ribosomal RNA". It matches the Rfam family "Bacterial small subunit ribosomal RNA", at positions 524 to 776 of the family's 1533-position model. The record is from RNAcentral.
UACGGGGGGGGCAAGCGUUGUUCGGAAUUACUGGGCGUAAAGGGUUUGUAGGUGGCUUGUUAAGUCAGACGUGAAAUCCCUCAGCUUAACUGGGGAACUGCGUCUGAUACUGGCGAGCUUGAGUGCAGGAGAGGAACGCGGAAUUCCAGGUGUAGCGGUGAAAUGCGUAGAGAUCGGGAGGAACACCAGAGGCGAAGGCGGCCCCCUGGUUGGAUACUGACGCUGAGACGCGAAAGCGUGGGGAGCAAACAGG